Molecule: long non-coding RNA, 727 nt
Filed under: Musa acuminata (dwarf banana)
Lineage: Eukaryota; Viridiplantae; Streptophyta; Magnoliopsida; Zingiberales; Musaceae
Description: long non-coding RNA (MACU_LNC004095)
Source: RNAcentral
CUCAUCUGUACAUCGUCACCGCCGGCGGUGGCGAGCUGCCUUCGCCGCCGCUCUUAAUGGAAUUUAAGGGAACAAAGAAUCCGAAUGUGAUAAGACGCUACCAGACGAAGAAAGGUAGGAGGAGGUUCAUGUGGUGGCGAUGGAGGAGGUACCGGAGGAUGGCCGGACGUAGAGGUCGUAUGGCUUCCAGAGUUGGUCGACCGGGCAGGGGUUACCGGCGUCUAGGCGAUCCCAUGGCUUCCCCUUUCCGCUCCAGUGCAUCAGGCUGACUGGGCCGGGGUGGAGCCUCCGGCACUCUCCGGUGAGGUUGUCGCCGCCGAGACCGUGCUGGUUCCACCGGUGCUCCAAACCCUCCACCUCCCCGGCGAAAACCAGCAGGAAGGGCGGCAGCGAGCCCAGCUCGUAGAUUCGACGCUCCCGCUGCACCUCCAUCCACCGCUCGAUCCGGCGGCGGUACCCUCCGGCCCGCCACCGGCGGAGGUCCAUCACCAUCACGCCGGUGUUGAAGUAGCAGGGCCGGUGACGCCGCCCGGCGAAGGCCUGCGCCCCGCCUUCCGCCCAAAAGGUGGGCGCGAAGUAGCGGGUGAAGUUGGCGUGGCAGUACUCCGGAGCGGCGACGACGGCGGCGGCGGAGUCGAGGCGGGCGGCGGCGUCGUCCCAGAGACGGCGAACGUCAUCGACGACGAUGACGUCAGAGUCAAGGUAGACGACGCGCUGGACGCAGGAG